CGUGAAUCUCCCAUCUCUUUUGCUGAAUUACAUAACAAGCUGUUAAGCAUGGAGGCUCAGAUUACUGCUCGUGCGCCGGACACCUCCGCCGCAUCUGAGUUGGCUUCGUCGGCUGCCUUCGUCGCCGGACAGCACUCCGACGGUAACCGUUUCGGUGGCCGCGGGCACGGCCGUGGCAGCCGUGGUUCAUCCUCCGGCUGCGGUGGUUACUCCAACAAUGGCCACUCUCGCGGGUACAAUAGGAAGUGCCAACUCUGCAGUGAAUUUGGCCACUCCGCGCGCCGCUGU
This 288-nucleotide long non-coding RNA is filed under the name Nicotiana benthamiana. RNAcentral's name for it is "long non-coding RNA (NBEN_LNC033021)". Lineage: Eukaryota; Viridiplantae; Streptophyta; Magnoliopsida; Solanales; Solanaceae. The record is from RNAcentral.